Molecule: ribosomal RNA, 397 nt
Filed under: uncultured bacterium
Lineage: Bacteria
Description: partial 16S ribosomal RNA
Rfam family: Bacterial small subunit ribosomal RNA
Source: RNAcentral
AUACGUAGGUGACAAGCGUUAUCCGGAUUUACUGGGCGUAAAGGGCGUGUAGGCGGUCUUGCAAGUCAGAAGUGAAAUUCCUGAGCUCAACUCGGGCGCUGCUUCUGAAACUGCAGGACUUGAGUGCUGGAGGGGAUAGCGGAAUUCCUAGUGGAGCGGUAAAAUGCGCAGAUAUUAGGAAGAACACCGGUGGCGAAGGCGGCUAUCUGGACAGUAACUGACGCUGAGGCGCGAAAGCGUGGGGAGCAAACAGGAUUAGAUACCCUGGUAGUCCACACUGUAAACGAUGAAUGCUAGGUGUAAGAGGUAUCGACCCCUUUUGUGCCGGAGUUAACACAAUAAGCAUUCCGCCUGGGGAGUACGGCCGCAAGGUUGAAACUCAAAUGAAUUGGCGGGG